Molecule: ribosomal RNA, 253 nt
Filed under: uncultured bacterium
Lineage: Bacteria
Description: partial 16S ribosomal RNA
Rfam family: Bacterial small subunit ribosomal RNA
Source: RNAcentral
UACGGGGGGGGCAAGCGUUGUUCGGAAUUACUGGGCGUAAAGGGCUCGUAGGUGGCCAACUAAGUCAGACGUGAAAUCCCUCAGCUUAACUGGGGAACUGCGUCUGAUACUGGAUGGCUUGAGUUUGGGAGAGGGAUGCGGAAUUCCAGGUGUAGCGGUGAAAUGCGUAGAUAUCAUGAGGAAGACCAGUGGCGAAGGCGGGUCUCUGGACAGUUCCUGACACUGAGACACGAAGGCCAGGGGAGCAAACGGG